CAGCCGCCGCGGGAAAACGGAGGGGGCUAGCGUUGUUCGGAAUUACUGGGCGUAAAGCGCACGUAGGCGGCUUGGUAAGUUAGAGGUGAAAGCCCAGGGCUCAACCCUGGAAUUGCCUUUAAGACUGCCGAGCUAGUAGGUGAGAGAGGUAAGUGGAAUUCCGAGUGUAGAGGUGAAAUUCGUAGAUAUUCGGAAGAACACCAGUGGCGAAGGCGGCUUACUGGCUCAUUCUAGACGCUGAGGUGCGAAAGCGUGGGGAGCAAACAGGAUUAGAUACCCGAGUAGUCCCUGUCUCUUAUAC
This 301-nucleotide ribosomal RNA is filed under the name uncultured bacterium. RNAcentral's name for it is "partial 16S ribosomal RNA". It matches the Rfam family "Bacterial small subunit ribosomal RNA", at positions 509 to 807 of the family's 1533-position model. The record is from RNAcentral.